GUUCCAGACUCCUACGGGAGGCAGCAGUGAGGAAUAUUGGUCAAUGGGCGGGAGCCUGAACCAGCCAAGUCGCGUGAAGGAAGAAGGUACUUAGUAUUUUAAACUUCUUUUGUCGGGGAACAAAGGCGGAGACGCGUCUCCGGAUGAGUGUACCCGAAGAAAAAGCAUCGGCUAACUCCGUGCCAGCAGCCGCGGUAAUACGGAGGAUGCGAGCGUUAUCCGGAUUUAUUGGGUUUAAAGGGUGCGCAGGCGGGAGAUCAAGUCAGCGGUAAAAUUGCGGGGCUCAACCCCGUCGAGCCGUUGAAACUGGCAGACUUGAGUUGGCGAGAAGUACGCGGAAUGCGCGGUGUAGCGGUGAAAUGCAUAGAUAUCGCGCAGAACUCCGAUUGCGAAGGCAGCGUACCGGCGCCAGACUGACGCUGAGGCACGAAAGCGUGGGGAUCGAACAGGAUUAGAUACCCCUGUAGUC
RNAcentral lists this ribosomal RNA (469 nucleotides) under uncultured bacterium. RNAcentral's name for it is "bacterial SSU rRNA". It matches the Rfam family "Bacterial small subunit ribosomal RNA", at positions 328 to 795 of the family's 1533-position model. The record is from RNAcentral.